RNAcentral lists this transfer RNA (70 nucleotides) under Chenopodium album (lamb's quarters). RNAcentral describes it as "tRNA-Gln". It matches the Rfam family "tRNA". From Rfam's summary of the family: Transfer RNA (tRNA) molecules are approximately 80 nucleotides in length. Their secondary structure includes four short double-helical elements and three loops (D, anti-codon, and T loops). Lineage: Eukaryota; Viridiplantae; Streptophyta; Magnoliopsida; Caryophyllales; Amaranthaceae. The record is from RNAcentral.
UGGGGCGUGGCCAAGUGGUAAGGCUCGGGUUUUGUCCCGCUAUUCGGAGGUUCGAAUCCUUCCGUCCCAG